This 68-nucleotide transfer RNA is filed under the name Eurydema qinlingensis. Its description in RNAcentral is "tRNA-Ala". It matches the Rfam family "tRNA". From Rfam's summary of the family: Transfer RNA (tRNA) molecules are approximately 80 nucleotides in length. Their secondary structure includes four short double-helical elements and three loops (D, anti-codon, and T loops). Further hydrogen bonds mediate the characteristic L-shaped molecular structure. tRNAs have two regions of fundamental functional importance: the anti-codon, which is responsible for specific mRNA codon recognition, and the 3' end, to which the tRNAs corresponding amino acid is attached (by aminoacyl-tRNA synthetases). tRNAs cope with the degeneracy of the genetic code in two manners: having more than one tRNA (with a specific anti-codon) for a particular amino acid; and 'wobble' base-pairing, i.e. permitting non-standard base-pairing at the 3rd anti-codon position. Lineage: Eukaryota; Metazoa; Arthropoda; Insecta; Hemiptera; Pentatomidae. The record is from RNAcentral.
AGGGUUAUAGUUUAAUAUAAAACAUUUAAUUUGCAAUUAAAAAAUAUUAUCCAUAAUAAUUUACCUUA